This 497-nucleotide ribosomal RNA is filed under the name uncultured bacterium. Its description in RNAcentral is "partial 16S ribosomal RNA". It matches the Rfam family "Bacterial small subunit ribosomal RNA", at positions 28 to 507 of the family's 1533-position model. The record is from RNAcentral.
GAUGAACGCUGGCGGCGUGCCUAAUACAUGCAAGUCGAGCGAACAGACGAGGAGCUUGCUCCUCUGACGUUAGCGGCGGACGGGUGAGUAACACGUGGAUAACCUACCUAUAAGACUGGGAUAACUUCGGGAAACCGGAGCUAAUACCGGAUAAUAUAUUGAACCGCAUGGUUCAAUAGUCAAAGACGGUUUUGCUGUCACUUAUAGAUGGUUCCGCGACGCAUUAGCUAGUUGGUAAGGUAACGGCUUACCAAGGCAACGAUGCGUAGCCGACCUGAGAGGGUGAUCGGCCACACUGGAACUGAGACACGGUCCAGACUCCUACGGGAGGCAGCAGUAGGGAAUAUUCGGCAAUGGGCGAAAGCUUGACGCAGCAACGCCGCGUGAGUGAAGAAGGUCUUCGGAUCGUAAAGCUCUGUUAUUAGGGAAGAACAAAUGUGUAAGUAACUAUGCACGUCUUGACGGUACCUAAUCAGAAAGCCACGGCUAACUACGUG